CAGGAUUGGAAUCGUGGAAUGGAAUACUCAUACUUACUCUUGCAGAGGACAAAAGGAAUUGGAAAGGCCAAGCCCUGGAAGCAGUCAAUGGUCAUUUCUGUGGCUUGGAUGGCCUCAUCGAGAGUGUGCGACUUGAGCAGGCAAUCAUCCAGUAUGGAUGUCUAGGGAUCUCAGCGUCACUUGGAAUCCUUCCUGAUGUGCAGCACCUCGUUGGUUUUCUCUGCAGAUAACUUCUUUUCAUCGACGGGGAGAUCCUCCAUGGUAUUUUGUAUCUUGCAUGGGAAAGAAGAAGAGGUAAACCAUGAAGCUUGACGCAUAACAACGGCCAUCAUGGUGGACCUGGCAGCUGUGUCUGCAGCAUCAAGGGCAGCCAGCAGUGCCAUGAAGGAAAUAAUCUGCCCUUCAGAGACUACUGCUCUGAAUUGUUGUCUCUUGUCUUCUGUAAUGUCAUUAAUAAAGUCCAUGAG
This is a long non-coding RNA of Caretta caretta (loggerhead turtle), 467 nucleotides long. RefSeq lists it as uncharacterized. The record is from RefSeq and is a predicted model, not a curated record. NCBI's taxonomy places the organism in Eukaryota, Metazoa, Chordata, Testudines, Cheloniidae.